This is a non-coding RNA of Gossypium arboreum, 147 nucleotides long. Lineage: Eukaryota; Viridiplantae; Streptophyta; Magnoliopsida; Malvales; Malvaceae. The record is from Rfam.
GAGCAAAUACUUUAUCGAUUUAUACUGUUAAAAACUUGCGUGACUGAUAGAAUAAUUAAAUAGUGGCACAGCACCAUGCCACAUGUAACUUAUGCUAAUGUACAGAGACUAGUUUUUAACAAUACAAAUAGAUAAAAAUUUUAGCUA